GUUGCCCUGCGCUGCACGUGAUGCCGGGGGGAAGUUUCAACCUCAUUCAGAUCUCGGACGCCGCUCACGAGGGUGGUGCGCAUGCCCCUCCACAGAGGGGAAGCCUGAAGCCCUCGGCCUUGGCGCCCACCUGGUGACACCAGGUUCGAAACACCGUCGGCACACGGCAGAGGCGGGGCUUCC
RNAcentral lists this non-coding RNA (183 nucleotides) under Candidatus Rokuibacteriota bacterium. RNAcentral's name for it is "Candidatus Rokubacteria bacterium 6S RNA". It matches the Rfam family "6S / SsrS RNA". From Rfam's summary of the family: E. coli 6S RNA was the first non coding RNA to be sequenced, but its function was unknown until recently. It consists of 184 nucleotides that fold into an extended hairpin structure with a large single-stranded internal bulge. The 6S RNA specifically associates with RNA polymerase holoenzyme containing the sigma70 specificity factor. The record is from RNAcentral. Lineage: Bacteria; Candidatus Rokuibacteriota.